GAAAGCCAUCAUUUUACUAACAUGGCAAUGACAAGCCACAGAAAUAGGUUUGCAGCAAACAGAGAUCUAUAGAUGAAAAUAGAUUGCACAGGUGGCCUACAACAUACAUACAUGAUACAAUGGCGACUGUGCGUAAACACAUAAAUGAGAGCUAUUUAAACCAGAAAAAUUACUCUAUGAUGGAGUUGAAAAUGAUCACAAACUUAAAUAUUGAAUUCCUUUUCCUUUUGCAAGAUGCUGGCGAAGCAAAGGAAACUGAGAAGCAAAUCAUGGACGAAUACAAGGCUAGAAUAAUAUAUGUAUCAGAAGGUUGCACCUAAUUAUUGCAUUGUAGGAGAUGAAAAGUGGACUGGGAUGCUUAAGAAGUCCUAAUAUAAACGACAAACUAAUACAAAUCCAGUUAGUAUAGAUAAGUCACUCUUAAGACAUGAGAAAGUAAGAGGAAUAGAUGUACUUGGAAAAUGGGGCAUAUAAAAUAUGAAGGAGGUUGCAAAUGCUCUUCCGAACCAAGCUGGGGAAAAGAUGACGUUCCACAUGAAGCCUUCAUUGGCUCGAGUACCCUCCAUACCUCUGAUGCAAGAUCUGGCCGGUUCUUUCGUUUCAUCUCACAACACCUUAGUGCCACGUGAGCCAACAUUUCAGCUUGCACAAACGGCCAAUCUCCCGCCAAAGGAUCCAAGAGGGUUUUCAAGUUUCCUUUAUCUAAUGCAUACUGCACCUCCUUUGUUAUACCCAAGGCCUGCCUUGCAGUCAACAAUCUUAACAAUAUAAUUCCAAAUGAA
Molecule: long non-coding RNA, 782 nt
Organism: Populus euphratica (Euphrates poplar)
Lineage: Eukaryota; Viridiplantae; Streptophyta; Magnoliopsida; Malpighiales; Salicaceae
Exons: 2
Source: RefSeq, a predicted model, not a curated record